GCUUGAAUCAGCUUUUUGACCAAAGGGAUUUAUGCAUCCGCAAAUCCAGUUGUCUUCCUUUCAUCUAUUUAUUUUGAUUUGGAUUUUAUUUGAAAUUCUUAAUUGUCUUGCUUUUCAGGUCAUCACUGUUUUUAACAUGAUUAUUUGGAUAUCCUAUAAAGUAAGUUUUGUUGACAUUAUUAUGUAAUGUUUGUUUAAUCAGGUUGUUCAACUGCUAUUCUUCCAGCAGGAGUUGUUCAAGCUUUGAAUAAGAGUUUUGAUACUAUGACUACCCAAUCUCAAACUCAAGCUCAACCCCACUUUAAUGGCAGUCUAUUUCCAGAAUAUGGUGAGAUAUCAUAAGCCGAAUUCACUGCUUUUUGAAAUGUUCCCAUUUUUUGACACUUGAUUGUUGCUUAUAUUUUGGGGUUUGUUUUCAGAUGUGCUAAUGGCUAGGAGAAAUGCACGUUUGGCCCAGCAGAGGAGAAAUAGUAUGUGGGCUGAGGGGGCAAUGAAUUAUGAAAUAAGACUCCCACAGGAAUGGACUUACUGAUUUGGAGGAUCAAUCUUUAUGAUGGAGAAAGAUGGUGAUUUAGGUAAGGAUAGUAAGGUAGAAAGUAGUAUUUGUUAUGUAGAGUUUUCAGGUUAUAAUAUAAAUUUCAUUUCAUGAAGUGUGAGAAGUGUAUUUAGAGAAGAAAGUAAUAAGAGAGAUCCAUGGUUUUUUGGGGUUUGAGAUUGCAGCUAGCUUUUUUUGUGGCCUUUAACUUUUGACUGGGGAAAGGAAGAAGAAGAAAGGUGGAUAUCAAUCAAAUCUUGUAGGUUGAAUUUGAAGGUAUAUUAGGGCCUCUUUUUUAGGUGGAGUUGAUAUCCAAACCCUCUGUUGAUGUGUAAUAUCCUUUGGCAAAUAGUGAAAUCUAAUAAGAAAUGGAGUAGUAUUUUAUAAUGAAGUACUCCGUAUGUUUUUAUAUUUAUUGUUGCAUUCUAAAGUUUGUAAAUCAGACCAACUUUUUAGUAAAAUGGAAACUGUAUUUAAAUUGAUGUCGUACGCAUGGGGAAAUCAAACCCCGCAGGCGGCAGGCCCCAAGGAUCAGC
Molecule: long non-coding RNA, 1071 nt
Filed under: Panax ginseng (ginseng)
Lineage: Eukaryota; Viridiplantae; Streptophyta; Magnoliopsida; Apiales; Araliaceae
Description: long non-coding RNA (PGIN_LNC016241)
Source: RNAcentral